GAGAAUGGUGCAUUGACCACAGUUGGCCUUGUGGCUUCACUCAUCGAAUCGAAAUAAUAUCAGUUACAUUGGUGUGUGGGACACCUGCCUGAGGCUUUGAUAGGUGAGAGUGUCUGCUUCACCAUCUCCCAACUAGCCUCAGGGGAAUUCUCACCAAACCGACCACCCACGACGAUACAGACCCACCUCCCCCCCCCCACCGUGUGUAUAGGAGGAACAAGUGUGAGCGAGCUGUAUACGAGCCUCCGGAUUCAAGCUGUUUCUGUACAAAGCAGGAACGGCACACGCACCAUCAGUAUGCAAGGCCUAUAGACAAAAGGAGCUUAGUGCUUACAACACCAACAGGCAUUCACUGCGGAGCGCAGCAGGUUGCCAUGCAACGGGAGCGGCAGAGGAUGAUGCCGGUCGGCCGGUCCGCCUAAUUUUGGAGACCGCUUGGUUCAGCAAAUGCGGUCGUUGAAGGCCCCCAUCCACGUUGACUGAAAAGGCUGGGUCAUCUUUUUAACUGGUAAAAUAAGUAAAACAAAGUAACCCAAUGGAGC
Gasterosteus aculeatus aculeatus (three-spined stickleback) is the source of this 542-nucleotide long non-coding RNA. The record is from Ensembl. NCBI's taxonomy places the organism in Eukaryota, Metazoa, Chordata, Actinopteri, Perciformes, Gasterosteidae.